UACGUAGGGCGCAAGCGUUGUCCGGAAUUAUUGGGCGUAAAGAGCUCGUAGGCGGUUUGUCGCGUCUGCUGUGAAAACCUAAGGCUCAACCUUGGGCUUGCAGUGGGUACGGGCAGACUAGAGUGCGGUAGGGGUGACUGGAAUUCCUGGUGUAGCGGUGGAAUGCGCAGAUAUCAGGAGGAACACCGAUGGCGAAGGCAGGUCACUGGGCCGCAACUGACGCUGAGGAGCGAAAGCUAGGGGAGCAAACAGG
This 253-nucleotide ribosomal RNA is filed under the name uncultured bacterium. Its description in RNAcentral is "partial 16S ribosomal RNA". It matches the Rfam family "Bacterial small subunit ribosomal RNA", at positions 524 to 776 of the family's 1533-position model. The record is from RNAcentral.